GGGAUCUAUAACGCCUUGGUGGAGAUGGACUACGACCUCUAGCUGGGGAUGCUGGUCUCCGUCUUGGUGGUGUAUCCCCACGACGAUAAGGAGACUCUAUUCGCCGAUGUGAAGGAGAAUCUACACGUUGACGUGAAGGAGAAUCUAGAAGACGUCUAGGGGAUCCACCUCUUCGAGUAACAGGGGAUCUUCUUCGAGGAGAGGCUAGAGGUUUCCGACGGG
Molecule: unclassified non-coding RNA, 222 nt
Filed under: Hevea brasiliensis (rubber tree)
Lineage: Eukaryota; Viridiplantae; Streptophyta; Magnoliopsida; Malpighiales; Euphorbiaceae
Source: RNAcentral